AUGAAGAAAUUUAGCAACACUUUUCCCGCAGGAUCUCUUGCAAGAACAAAUAGUCAAUUUGUUAGAACUUGGUUAGUAGUGAAUUGGGAACAAGAAGAAAAAGAAAAGGCUGGUGCUUCCCUUGUUGAGGUAAGAGCAAAUGAUCUUAUUCGGGAUUUCCUAAGAAUUGAGUUAGUCAAGUCCACUAUUUCGUACACACGAAAAAGGUAUGGUAGGACAAGUGCACUACCGAUUCCGCAUAAUAGGUUAGAUCGCGCCAAUAUCAAUUCUUUUUAUUCCAAGGCGAAGAUUGAAUCACUUAGCCAACAUCCAGAAGCUAUUGGCACUUUGUUGAAUCGAAAUAAAGAAUACCACUCUUUGAUGAUUUUGUCGGCAUCCAACUGUUCUUGA
RNAcentral lists this ribosomal RNA (390 nucleotides) under Triticum aestivum (bread wheat). RNAcentral describes it as "partial small subunit ribosomal RNA". The record is from RNAcentral. Lineage: Eukaryota; Viridiplantae; Streptophyta; Magnoliopsida; Poales; Poaceae.